This 253-nucleotide ribosomal RNA is filed under the name uncultured bacterium. RNAcentral's name for it is "partial 16S ribosomal RNA". It matches the Rfam family "Bacterial small subunit ribosomal RNA", at positions 524 to 776 of the family's 1533-position model. The record is from RNAcentral.
UACGUAGGGUGCGAGCGUUAAUCGGAAUUAUUGGGCGUAAAGCGCGUGUAGGCGGCUCGGUAAGUCUGCUGUGAAAGUCCAAGGCUCAACCUUGGAAAGCCGGUGGAUACUGUCGAGCUCGAGUCCGGAAGAGGCGAGUGGAAUUCCUGGUGUAGCGGUGAAAUGCGCAGAUAUCAGGAGGAACACCAAUGGCGAAGGCAGCUCGCUGGGACGGUACUGACGCUGAGACGCGAAAGCGUGGGGAGCAAACAGG